RNAcentral lists this signal recognition particle RNA (229 nucleotides) under Phytophthora nicotianae P1569. RNAcentral describes it as "metazoan signal recognition particle RNA". The stretch from base 44 to 211 matches the Rfam family "Metazoan signal recognition particle RNA", at positions 90 to 257 of the family's 299-position model. Rfam says of the family: The signal recognition particle (SRP) is a universally conserved ribonucleoprotein. It is involved in the co-translational targeting of proteins to membranes. Lineage: Eukaryota; Oomycota; Peronosporomycetes; Peronosporales; Peronosporaceae. The record is from RNAcentral.
ACUCGUCAUCAGGAUUGUGGUAUGCGCUGCUGAAUUACUAUCCCCAGGAUGUGGAUGAUGCGUCCAUCUCAAACCAGGAGUCUACAUUGGGGUAUUGUCGUAAGACAGUGCACCGAGGUCACUAAGAAAGGGUGUACUGCCCCAGGCUGGUUUACAGAGCAGGGAAAAGCCUUCGCUCUUGGUAGUGGGAGGAUCUCGUAUCAGAAUCCUGAUGUACUACUACUGCGCU